GCGUGAGGAACCUGCCUCAAAGAGGGGGACAACAGUUGGAAACGACUGCUAAUACCGCAUAAGCCCACAGCUCGGCAUCGAGCAGAGGGAAAAGGAGUGAUCCGCUUUGAGAUGGCCUCGCGUCCGAUUAGCUAGUUGGUGAGGUAACGGCCCACCAAGGCGACGAUCGGUAGCCGGACUGAGAGGUUGAACGGCCACAUUGGGACUGAGACACGGCCCAGACUCCUACGGGAGGCAGCAGUGGGGAAUAUUGCACAAUGGGGGAAACCCUGAUGCAGCGACGCCGCGUGGAGGAAGAAGGUCUUCGGAUUGUAAACUCCUGUUGUUGAGGAAGAUAAUGACGGUACUCAACAAGGAAGUGACGGCUAACUACGUGCCAGCAGCCGCGGU
This 390-nucleotide ribosomal RNA is filed under the name uncultured bacterium. RNAcentral's name for it is "bacterial SSU rRNA". It matches the Rfam family "Bacterial small subunit ribosomal RNA", at positions 115 to 521 of the family's 1533-position model. The record is from RNAcentral.